This 77-nucleotide transfer RNA is filed under the name Verrucomicrobiota bacterium. RNAcentral describes it as "tRNA-Pro". It matches the Rfam family "tRNA". Rfam says of the family: Transfer RNA (tRNA) molecules are approximately 80 nucleotides in length. Lineage: Bacteria; Pseudomonadati; Verrucomicrobiota. RNAcentral also lists the same sequence under 1 other name. The record is from RNAcentral.
CGGGCUGUAGCACAGCUUGGUAGUGCGCUUGCAUGGGGUGCAAGAGGUCGUGAGUUCGAAUCUCGCCAGCCCGACCA